This 465-nucleotide ribosomal RNA is filed under the name uncultured bacterium. Its description in RNAcentral is "partial 16S ribosomal RNA". It matches the Rfam family "Bacterial small subunit ribosomal RNA", at positions 28 to 504 of the family's 1533-position model. The record is from RNAcentral.
GACGAACGCUGGCGGCGUGCUUAACACAUGCAAGUCGAACGGAAAGGCCCUGCUUUUGUGGGGUGCUCGAGUGGCGAACGGGUGAGUAACACGUGAGUAACCUGCCCUUGACUUUGGGAUAACUUCAGGAAACUGGGGCUAAUACCGGAUAGGAGCUCCUGCUGCAUGGUGGGGGUUGGAAAGUUUCGGCGGUUGGGGAUGGACUCGCGGCUUAUCAGCUUGUUGGUGUGGUAGUGGCUUACCAAGGCUUUGACGGGUAGCCGGCCUGGGAUGGUGACCGGCCACAUUGGGACUGGGAUACGGCCCAGACUCCUACGGGGAGCAGCAGUGGGGAAGAUUGCACAAUGGGCAGAAGCCUGAUGCAGCAACGCUGCGUGCGGGAUGACGGCCUUCGGGUUGUAAACCGCUUUCGCCUGUGACGAAGCGUGAGUGACGGUAAUGGGUAAAGAAGCACCGGCUAACUAC